GCUGCUGCUGGCCGUGGGUCUGGUGCUGAAGACCCGGCGUGUGUUCUCUCGGGGCAGAAACGCACGUUACACGGUAGGGGGAGGGCUCCACGGGCUCAUCAAGCUGCGGGGAGCAGGGGCCGGCAGGACGCCCGUCUCCGGCACACCAGAGAGAAGCCCUGAGCCUCCUACGGCCCGCGUGCCCCUGACACAGCACUGGGCAAGCCGCAGCCUUUGCUCUAUCAGUCGAAUCCACCAAAAUACCCAGCUAGCUUCCAGCGCCAGGGAUUGCAGGUGCCUUGUCAUCCCACACUUGGCAAUCCAAGCUGUUUUUGGAAACAACAGUCAGUUCCAUGGCGAAAAUGGGGCGUCUCGGACACGAGGACCAGCCGGGCGCGAGGAAGAAGCCGGGACCGAACCGUUUGUCGUGAGCUCUUUAAGCAACGUUCUUCGUCCUGCAGGAGCCAGCUCUGGACUUCCGCCCCACCCUCCCUCAGAGGCGCUCUGGGGGAGGAAGAGGAGCAGAACGGCGAACAAGGAAGCCCCCUCCCCGCCGUCUCUGAACUGCAGCGGCCGAGCAAGAGCCCCAACCCCGCCUGGCUGGGAGGCCUGCCGUCCACCGGGGCCUCGGUCUCCCUGCUGUCCCCAGUACUUCCUUCCCGAGCGUGUGGGCCUCGCAGAAGCAAAGCCUCCCCACAGCGCCGGCAGAGGAGCCCAGGACGUCUCCCCACAGCGCCAGCAGAGGAGCCCAGGACGUCUCCCCACAGCGCCAGCAGAGGAGCCCAGGACGCCUCCCCACAGCGCCAGCAGAGGAGCCCAGGACGCCUCCCCACAGCGCCAGCAGAGGAGCCCAGGACGCCUCCCCACAGCGCCAGCAGAGGAGCCCAGGACGCCAUGGUAAGCGUCCCUGGAUCCGGAGUCUCACUGGGUCCCAGAGCCCCAGCCGCCCCAGGCCCCCGCGGGAGCCCUGCGCUAUUCUAAGACGGUCAGCAGGCAUUUGGCAGCUUUUCACCACACCUUUCCAUCCGGCACUUAGUUUGUUAAUGAGCAAAGCAGCCCUGAUAAGAUGGAGCUACAGGAACUCAACGCAGUAGCACACACAUCCACACAUGUGUGCGCACACCGUCACCUAUGUGCUCAUAGUGCACAUGCAUGUGCACACACAUGUACUCACACUCAAAAUACACAGGUGUGUGCAUGUGUGUGCAGGUACGUGUGUGUGCACGCCUGGCGAGACAGCACAUGUGGUUAGGAGUGCUCUCUGUGGUCUUUAAAGGCGAGGGAGGCCC
Molecule: long non-coding RNA, 1268 nt
Filed under: Oryctolagus cuniculus (rabbit)
Lineage: Eukaryota; Metazoa; Chordata; Mammalia; Lagomorpha; Leporidae
Description: lncRNA (ENSOCUG00000034266.1)
Source: RNAcentral